This 481-nucleotide ribosomal RNA is filed under the name uncultured fungus. Its description in RNAcentral is "eukaryotic LSU rRNA". It matches the Rfam family "Eukaryotic large subunit ribosomal RNA", at positions 93 to 648 of the family's 3401-position model. Lineage: Eukaryota; Fungi. The record is from RNAcentral.
ACGAAGUGGGAAGAGCCCGCGAUGUUAAUCCGUUUCUGACGGAGUUGUGCAUCGAGUUUUUAGCUAUUGAGAAACUGGAAGUAAGAUGCCUGGAAAGGCACGCCAGAGAGGGUGACAGCCCCGUGCUUAUUCCAAUGAUUCUUAUGUACAGCUAUAACCUAAUGAGUCACGCUCUUUGGGAGUAGAGCGCAAAAUGGGUGGUAACCUCCAUCCACGGCUAGAUAAUGGUGAGAGAUCGAUAGCAAACAAGUACCGUGAGGGAAAGUUGAAAAGCACUUCGAAAGGAGAGUUAAAAUACCUGAAAUCGCUGAGGGGGAAGCGGCUGUCCGUGACCCGAUGUAUGAAAGAUUUCUUUCAUUACAUUACUCGACAUCACUUCCAUAUGAUAGGACUUGUUAUCGCUUCGGCUAUAACAAAGCUUCUCGCAUCGAGAAGUGUGGUACGCCAUUGCAAGUUGUCGAGGGUGGCAUGUACAGACGAC